AGAUUGGGAUACAUCAGUCGUGCCUUUUGGGGCAUGAAUCGGUGUGUGGUCAAUUCUCACCUUCUGGUGAAUCGGGAUGCUCUCUGGUGUUUCGAUGAACUAGGACCUUUACUUUGAAAAAAUUAGAGUGUUUAAAGCAGGCCUACGCUUGAAUACAUUAGCAUGGAAUAAUAGAAUAGG
RNAcentral lists this ribosomal RNA (180 nucleotides) under uncultured Glomeromycotina. Its description in RNAcentral is "partial small subunit ribosomal RNA". The stretch from base 90 to 180 matches the Rfam family "Eukaryotic small subunit ribosomal RNA", at positions 733 to 826 of the family's 1831-position model. Lineage: Eukaryota; Fungi; Glomeromycota. The record is from RNAcentral.